GUACAGCUUCUCUGCCCAAUGGGAUCGUCACAUUUGUUAUUGGCACAGUAAAACUCGGUCCCUCUGAAACACAAGAAUGUUAUCUUUUAAGCAUGUAGUUCAGUCUACUUUAUCGCAAAAAAGCAUGCUUAGCAACUGGAUAACGACUCAUUUGCUUCUCCGUUCUCGUCGGUUCUAUAAAAUUAAUAAACGUUCGCACACUAACAACAAAACAGUCUUUCUAAUGUCAUUUAUACUUAUGUGUCUCGGAAGAAAAAGAGCGUCAACUUCUAAUUCAUGAAGUGCCCCUUAAUGUUACAGUGGGUUCCAGCAGUACGUACGGCCAAUUGAAAUUGUAUUUUGAUACAUAAGUGAUGGACUUAUUAAUGAUAACAGUUCAUCAAAAAUAUCUAUGCUCAUUCCAAAAUAAACGGCAAAUUUGAAAGGAUAAAUUCUUCACUCAUUGUAUAG
RNAcentral lists this unclassified non-coding RNA (450 nucleotides) under Bombus terrestris (buff-tailed bumblebee). Its description in RNAcentral is "misc RNA ENSBTSG00005021144.1". The record is from RNAcentral. Lineage: Eukaryota; Metazoa; Arthropoda; Insecta; Hymenoptera; Apidae.